GGUGCGGUACCCAAGCAGAUAAGGGAGCGGUCUGCAAAACCGUUAUUCGCCGGUGCAAAUCCGGCCCGCACCU
This 73-nucleotide transfer RNA is filed under the name Elusimicrobiota bacterium. RNAcentral's name for it is "Elusimicrobia bacterium (groundwater metagenome) tRNA-Cys". It matches the Rfam family "tRNA". From Rfam's summary of the family: Transfer RNA (tRNA) molecules are approximately 80 nucleotides in length. Their secondary structure includes four short double-helical elements and three loops (D, anti-codon, and T loops). Further hydrogen bonds mediate the characteristic L-shaped molecular structure. tRNAs have two regions of fundamental functional importance: the anti-codon, which is responsible for specific mRNA codon recognition, and the 3' end, to which the tRNAs corresponding amino acid is attached (by aminoacyl-tRNA synthetases). tRNAs cope with the degeneracy of the genetic code in two manners: having more than one tRNA (with a specific anti-codon) for a particular amino acid; and 'wobble' base-pairing, i.e. permitting non-standard base-pairing at the 3rd anti-codon position. The record is from RNAcentral. Lineage: Bacteria; Pseudomonadati; Elusimicrobiota.